AUGACGCAUAUGUUUCCAAAUGGAGGUGCCUCGUCCAGCUCAACCUCUGUGAGCAGCCAGAGGAGCGAGACAGAUGAUGACAAGAUGAUUGCAAUGGUUCUUGAAGAAGAAUAUGCGAAGCUAGAUGGUGCUAUGGCCAAGCGCCUUACGAAUUUGACAUCUAUUCCUCAUGUUCCCCGGAUUAAUACAUACUUCCCAACAUAUAGUGAUGCCACCAUGGAUCAUCAUCGUCUUCAUGACAGGUUAAAUGCAUAUGGCUUGUUUGAAGUGAGGGUAUCAGGUGAUGGCAAUUGUCAGUUCCGUGCACUCUCAGACCAGCUAUAUCGAUCACCUGAGUAUCACAAGCAUGUUCGGAAAGAGAUAGUGAAGCAGCUCAAGGCGUGCAACUCUUUGUAUGAGGGGCAUGUCCCAAUGAAAUAUAAACACUAUUGCAAGAAGAUGAAAAAAUCUGGGGAAUGGGGAGACCAUGUCACAUUGCAAGCAGCUGCUGAUAAGUUUGCUGCGAAGAUAUGCCUUCUUACAUCUUUCAGAGAUACCUGUUUUGUUGAAAUUGUUCCACAGUAUCAGGCUCCACAAAGAGAGCUUUGGCUAAGUUUUUGGUCUGAAAUUCACUACAACUCACUAUACGAUGCACGAGAUCUCCCGAGCAAGUACAAGCCUAGAAAGAAGCACUGGUUGUUUUAG
RNAcentral lists this ribosomal RNA (684 nucleotides) under Triticum aestivum (bread wheat). RNAcentral describes it as "partial small subunit ribosomal RNA". The record is from RNAcentral. Lineage: Eukaryota; Viridiplantae; Streptophyta; Magnoliopsida; Poales; Poaceae.